GUAGGGGCCGAGCGUUGUCCGGAGUUACUGGGCGUAAAGCGCGCGCAGGCGGCUCGUCAAGCCUGACGUGAAAGCCCCCGGCUCAACCGGGGAGGGUCGUCGGGGACUGGCGAGCUUGAGGUCGGCAGGGGCUGGUGGAAUUCCCGGUGUAGUGGUGAAAUGCGUAGAGAUCGGGAGGAACACCCGUGGCGAAGGCGGCCAGCUGGGCCGGACCUGACGCUGAGGCGCGAAGGCGUGGGGAGCGAACGGGAUUAGAUACCCCGGUAGUCCACGCAGUAAACGAUGCAGACUAGGCGUGGGGGGACUUGACCCCCUCCGCGCCGAAGCCAACGCGUGAAGUCUGCCGCCUGGGGAGUACGGCCGCAAGGCUA
RNAcentral lists this ribosomal RNA (371 nucleotides) under uncultured organism. RNAcentral's name for it is "bacterial SSU rRNA". It matches the Rfam family "Bacterial small subunit ribosomal RNA", at positions 527 to 896 of the family's 1533-position model. The record is from RNAcentral.